UCUACUAAAGGAAAAUAGCCCUCCACUGAUCUUAGGAGUCAAACUCCU
This 48-nucleotide transfer RNA is filed under the name Rhinophis oxyrhynchus. RNAcentral describes it as "partial tRNA-Leu". Lineage: Eukaryota; Metazoa; Chordata; Lepidosauria; Squamata; Uropeltidae. The record is from RNAcentral.